RNAcentral lists this ribosomal RNA (494 nucleotides) under uncultured bacterium. RNAcentral describes it as "partial 16S ribosomal RNA". It matches the Rfam family "Bacterial small subunit ribosomal RNA", at positions 28 to 507 of the family's 1533-position model. The record is from RNAcentral.
GACGAACGCUGGCGGCGUGCUUAACACAUGCAAGUCGAACGGUGAAGCGCCUUCCUUUUUGGUGGGUGUGGAUGAGUGGCGAACGGGUGAGUAACACGUGAGUAACCUGCCCCCUUCUUCUGGAUAACCGCAUGAAAGUGUGGCUAAUACGGGAUAUUCUGGGUCUGUCGCAUGAUGGGUCUGGGAAAGAUAUUGUUUCGGUGGGGGAUGGGCUCGCGGCCUAUCAGCUUGUUGGUGGGGUGAUGGCCUACCAAGGCGGUGACGGGUAGCCGGCCUGAGAGGGUGGACGGUCACACUGGGACUGAGACACGGACCAGACUACUACGGGAGGCAGCAGUGGGGAAUAUUGCACAAUGGGCGGAAGGAUGAUGCAGCGACGCCGCGGGGGGGAUGGAGGCCUGCGGGUUGUGAACCUCUUUCGCCAGUGAAGCAGGCCUGCCUCGUUUGUGGGUGGGUUGACGGUAGCUGGAUAAGAAGCGCCGGCUAACUACGUG